Non-coding RNA from Cinara cedri, 3263 nucleotides. The record is from the annotation of a GenBank genome assembly. Lineage: Eukaryota; Metazoa; Arthropoda; Insecta; Hemiptera; Aphididae.
CUUUUUUAAUUUUGUUUGUUGUUUGUUGUUAUUCAGUUAAAAAUAUUCGUAGAGAAUCGAAUUUUUGACAGAAACUUAUACUUAGUUUUUCCAUACGUGUUAAAACGUUCGAAACAUUUAAGCCAUUUUAAGCCAUUUAUGGACACUUUAAUUUUAAAAGUAUUUUAAGUAAUUGUAUUUUAUUUGGUAGUAUGUGGAUAAAAUUGUUUGAUAAAAUAGCAACGCCUGAAAAUUUUACAUUAGGAUUAGAUAAAAUAUCCGUAUGACGGCCAAAGAGAAACACAUCCACACAAACAUAAUGACAUCAUCAUAAAACUAAUACACGAUUUGCUGUAGCGUUUAGACCACUAAAAAAAAAAUUAUCAAAUAAAUUUGUUACAGUUGAUGUAAAAAUUGCCCGUUAUUUUUAUUGAUAAAUAAACUAUCAUAUUAUUAAGCUAUCGUAAAUAUUCAAAUAGCCCAGUGACACAAUUUCAAUGCCGUGUUUACUCCCGGUUAAACGGAUAAUACGUAUUAAUUAUUUAAUUGAUUAAUGGUUCAAAUCGAAAUCUGCUAAGAUAUCAUUAUUCUAGUGCCGCCCAGCGUAUUGUCGAAAUAUUAAUCCGCGACGUUGUUCCGGGUAAAUCUGGAAAAUAUGACUGCAGGGAUUUUCUUGUGAUUACAGACAAAAAUGGACUCCGCAGCAAUUUAUUUGUUUAUUUUUUUAACCAACCAAUUUAUUUUUCUUUCCUUUGCUUAUUGCUUUUUUCUUUACCUACUGUCAGUGGCAUCGAUUUACUAAAAACGUAGUCGGGCGAAAUACAUUUCAAGAGGCACCGAUAAUCAAAAACCGUUAUAUGUUCAAAGUUUUGUACAUGUUUUUAUUUUUAUAAUGAAGCAUACAUUCAACUAGGCCAGUUGUGACCAAACUUUUUGUUGCGAGGGCGAUAAAAAAAUAAUAACAAAUCUUUUCAGUUAUUAUCGAAUAUUGCGUUUCAAGUUGCUAAAAAAAAAAAACACACAUCAUUAGGGCAAGGAUGUUGUUGCAUUUGCAACUUAUUCUUUACCUUUUCAAUUUAUUGUUAAGUGAGUUUUAAAUACGUUUCAUGUAAGUACGAAUUCAGAUCUAGAAUUUUUAAGUGCGAUGUUUUGCAAUUUUUUCAAUUUUAUUGCAAUUUUGAUAAAUUUACUGAAUUUACACACCUACUUUAGCUAUUCUCGACACUCGACAAUCCUAUAGAUAAGAUUGUACUAUAAUAUUGCCAGCCUUAAAAACAAUAAUGGUAUCAUAUUUUUAUUUUCAUAGUUCUAAGUUCAUAGAUAUUCAAUACAAUUAAAAAAUAUAUGUUUUGUGAAAUGUAACUGACUGUUAUAAUCUUUUUUUCAGUCACUCCGUGAAUUUUGAGUGAUCGUGUUCUGCUAUAACUUUAUAAAUAUGCGAGGAAUUAAGCCAACUAUUUUCAUUUUUGUAAAAAAAUUAUUUGUUUUUAGUGCAAUUUUUAAUAUUUGUAUUGAAUAUUUCUGUAUUUUUUAGUGGGAUACUGCGAUCAGUUUCAAUAUAUAUUUACUACUUCAAUAUCAAUGCUCUAUACACCAUAGUAAAAACGAAAUAUCCCUCGUCACCACACUUCGAAUCUACACGAUGAACAUCAUUGUAAUACCGAGGCAUUCCUUACUACGUUUCGAAUCUAAAAAUAUAUCGUAUUGUAUGUAACCGUGUGGGGAUGUUUAUCACUACGAAGAAACACGUCGGUGAAAAAAGACUAAAAUCAAAUCGUUUCGUGCAACUAUUAAUGGACGGUAACUCGAUCGUAUUUACCUAACUUUAACUUAUUUAACCUAAAUACAAUUAUACUAGUUUUUUUUUUCCAAUUUAAAUUUUCAGAUCAGUCAGAGAUUAAAGACAAUAAUAAUGGUCUGUUUGCAAACAGAGACAAAAUCGCUAUACGUAUGCAACUAGAGAACAUUUCCUUUCAGAAUCGGCACUAGUGUACUAUACUCUAUAUAUCGGAGCAAGAUUUGUUUUCGAAAAUAUAUUUACAGGCACAAAAAACACACACGCACCAUAGUAAUACCAAUAGAUCCCUCGCAACGUUCUUAAUCUAGAAUAACCACGACCAGUGGGGAGAGGAUUAAUCCCCGUAAACCUCACACGUGAGAACGGGUUUGGCAAUCGUUAGGGACGAAGCAAGAAAGAUCUGUAUUUGUAGAUAUUUUUUUUAAACGCCAAGCGCAACGAAAAAUUCGUGUUGAUUAAAAUGUUCAACCGGUUUUGGUCGCCAAAUAGAUACAAAUUUAAUUUGACAGAAAAGCUGCUAUCCUUCUCAACCGUAGGAAUGGUGUAAAUUUAUUAUUAGUUUAUUUAUAAAUGAUAAAUAAUCUAUUGUCAUUUUCCGGAAAACGUUUUUUUAAAAAAAAAAUUGUAUUUAUUAAAAUUGAGUGGAAAACACAAAUGUUAAACGGCGAUUAUUUAUUUAUUUUGCGUGAUUAAUGUGUGUGUAUACAGUAUACGUAAUAGAAAACGAAUUGUGUUUAGUAAAAUUGUCGUCAAUCCAAUACCACACCAUAUUGCGCGUGAACGUCAUCGUAGUUUGUCUAAAAUAACCUAACGUGCCGCACAGACAACAGCCAUUCAACUCCGUUUCAAGUCAGUUCGUCUACAAUCAACCGAAUAAGCCGUUGUUUUGAUAACAUUGAUUUUCCAGUUGUACAAAUUGUAUAAUGAAUUUCAAUUAUGUAUGCUUUUUGCUAUAUUUUAUUUUACUGACAAUAGCCUUGACAGCUGUAAGUGCACAUUACGAACACCUCGGUAAGAAACCACUGCCAAGAUGUCAGAAGGGUUACAAAUUAUGUAAGAAAAGUAUUAACCAUCGUCAUUGUGUAUGUUGUCGACGAUCAUGUGAUCGUUGGCUUCAUAGAAGAUCAUUUUUAAUGUGUUAUAAGAAGUAUAAGGCGUGUUGGAGUGUAGAAGAACAAUGUGCAUGUUGUCUAAACCAUUGUCACGAGUUUUAAAUAUUUACACCGCAAACGGAAGUAAACGAAGAAAAUAAAAUACACCAAUAAAAAUUAAUUCUAUGCAAAUAAUGAUAUCCUCGGCCGUCUUUUUCGUCCAAAACCCAAGAAUAAUUUUGUGAUUAAAUGUUAAGAUUUAUCAUUGUAUUUUUCCGAAAUCCAUUAAACUACCAAAAAGAUGUUUUUUUUUUUUUUUUGGAAAUUAUACCUCUCGUUGUAUCAAAAAUCAAAACAUGUUUUUUUCCUUUUUACAUUAUCUGUUGUUCUUUUGG